AAUAGAUACCCAGGUAGUCCACGCCGUAAACGAUGAGUGCUAGGUGUUAGGGGGUCCAACCCCUUAGUGCUGAAGUUAACACAUUAAGCACUCCGCCUGGGGAGUACGACCGCAAGGUUGAAACUCAAAGGAAUUGACGGGGGCCCGCACAAGCAGUGGAGCAUGUGGUUUAAUUCGAAGCAACGCGAAGAACCUUACCAGGUCUUGACAUCCUCUGACAACCCUAGAGAUAGGGCGUUCCCCUUCGGGGGACAGAGUGACAGGUGGUGCAUGGUUGUCGUCAGCUCGUGUCGUGAGAUGUUGGGUUAAGUCCCGCAACGAGCGCAACCCUUGAUGUUAGUUGCCAGCAUUCAGUUGGGCACUCUAACGUGACUGCCGGUGACAAACCGGAGGAAGGUGGGGAUGACGUCAAAUCAUCAUGCCCCUUAUGACCUGGGCCACACACGUGCUACAAUGGGCGGUACAAAGGGCAGCGAAACCGCGAGGUGGAGCCAAUCCCAUAAAGCCGCUCUCAGUUCGGAUUGCAGGCUGCAACUCG
RNAcentral lists this ribosomal RNA (538 nucleotides) under uncultured bacterium. RNAcentral's name for it is "bacterial SSU rRNA". It matches the Rfam family "Bacterial small subunit ribosomal RNA", at positions 777 to 1314 of the family's 1533-position model. The record is from RNAcentral.